Molecule: ribosomal RNA, 474 nt
Filed under: Triticum aestivum (bread wheat)
Lineage: Eukaryota; Viridiplantae; Streptophyta; Magnoliopsida; Poales; Poaceae
Description: partial small subunit ribosomal RNA
Source: RNAcentral
AUGAAUGGCCUAUUCUGGAACUGCAGAGGAGCAGGGAAAAAAGGAAUGAUCACCUGUUUCUCUGAUCUGAUUAAGAAUCAUUCCCUAGAUUUUUUGUGUCUCCAGGAGACUAUGAAAAGAAAAUUCUGUUGGAAAAUUGAUCCCUAUAGUACUUUUGACUGGAAUUGGAUACCUUCUAUUGGCAAGGCUGGGGGCUUACUUUGUGGGGUCAAGAGGGACAAAUUGGAGAUUGUCUCUUGGUCCCUAGGAAAAUUUAUCCUCCAAGUUAUUAUUUUUUGUGUUGCUAAACAAUGUGUUUGGGCCCUUCUAAAUGUCUAUGGUGCGGCUCAUGAUGAGCAGAAGGAAGAGUUUCUUGUGGAGUUGGCUAGUUUUUGUAGUCAUUUAUCCAUACCUUACAUUGUGGGUGGUGAUUUCAACAUCCUCAGACACUGUGGAGAGAAAAACAAAAAAAAUGAUGACCUCCCAGUAUGUUGA